AGGACGAACGCUGGCGGUGCGCCUAACACAUGCAAGUCGAACGGUGAACCGGGCUUCGGCCCGGGGAUCAGUGGCGAACGGGUGCGUAACACGUGGGCAACCUGCCCCCGACCCUGGGAUAACCCCGGGAAACCGGAGCUAAUACCGGAUACUCUCCUCCGACCACGUGGUCGGCUGAGGAAAGGUCCGCCGGUCGGGGAUGGGCCCGCGGCCUAUCAGCUUGUUGGUGGGGUAACGCCUACCAAGGCGACGACGGGUAGCUGGUCUGAGAGGACGACCAGCCACACUGGGACUGAGACACGGCCCAGACUCCUACGGGAGGCAGCAGUGGGGAAUCUUGCGCAAUGGGCGAAAGCCUGACGCAGCGACACCGCGUGGGGGAUGGAAGGCCUUUCAGGUCGUAAACCCCUUUCGGCAGGACGAAGCGAUCUCGUGACGGUACCUGCAGAAGAAGCCUCGGCUAACUACGUGCCAGCAGCCGC
This 482-nucleotide ribosomal RNA is filed under the name uncultured soil bacterium. RNAcentral describes it as "bacterial SSU rRNA". It matches the Rfam family "Bacterial small subunit ribosomal RNA", at positions 26 to 518 of the family's 1533-position model. The record is from RNAcentral.